UACAACUUUUAUUCCUCAUCAUAUUUAAAUUUUUUCUAUAAUUAGUAUUUUUAUUGUUAUUAGAUGAUAAAACAUGAAUAGUAUUUUAUGCGUGACUAAUUUUUUGAAUUUGUUUAUAACUGCUUCAAAUAGGACGGACGGUCAAACGUUGGACACAGAAACUCA
RNAcentral lists this microRNA precursor (165 nucleotides) under Oryza meridionalis. RNAcentral describes it as "MIR812 microRNA precursor family". It matches the Rfam family "MIR812 microRNA precursor family", at positions 27 to 191 of the family's 205-position model. The record is from Rfam by way of RNAcentral. Lineage: Eukaryota; Viridiplantae; Streptophyta; Magnoliopsida; Poales; Poaceae.